This 497-nucleotide ribosomal RNA is filed under the name uncultured bacterium. RNAcentral's name for it is "partial 16S ribosomal RNA". It matches the Rfam family "Bacterial small subunit ribosomal RNA", at positions 28 to 507 of the family's 1533-position model. The record is from RNAcentral.
GAUGAACGCUGGCGGCGUGCCUAAUACAUGCAAGUCGAGCGUACGGACGAGAAGCUUGCUUCUCUGAUGUUAGCGGCGGACGGGUGAGUAACACGUGGAUAACCUACCUAUAAGACUGGGAUAACUUCGGGAAACCGGAGCUAAUACCGGAUGAUAUUUUGAACCGCAUGGUUCAAAAGUGAAAGACGGUCUUGCUGUCACUUAUAGAUGGAUCCGCGCUGCAUUAGCUAGUUGGUAAGGUAACGGCUUACCAAGGCAACGAUGCAUAGCCGACCUGAGAGGGUGAUCGGCCACACGGGAACUGAGACACGGUCCAGACUCCUACGGGAGGCAGCAGUAGGGAAUCUUCCGCAAUGGGCGAAAGCCUGACGGAGCAACGCCGCGUGAGUGAUGAAGGUGUUCGGAUCGUAAAACUCUGUUAUUAGGGAAGAACAUAUGUGUAAGUAACUGUGCACAUCUUGACGGUACCUAAUCAGAAAGCCACGGCUAACUACGUG